UUUUGAUAAGAACUUCAUCAUUUUAGCAGUUUCAGAACAGUAUCUACUUGAGCUGACCAUAACUUCAAGAUUUAUGUGUGAAUGUGAUUCAGAACAAUAACAUCUUAUAAUGGAUCCUUUAAGAAAUAAUUAUAAUAAAUUCAUAAGUUUUUAAUGACACAGUGAUAUUAUAGCUUUAA
RNAcentral lists this long non-coding RNA (179 nucleotides) under Amphimedon queenslandica. RNAcentral describes it as "uncharacterized LOC109586369". The record is from RNAcentral. Lineage: Eukaryota; Metazoa; Porifera; Demospongiae; Haplosclerida; Niphatidae.